Molecule: long non-coding RNA, 2360 nt
Filed under: Sus scrofa (pig)
Lineage: Eukaryota; Metazoa; Chordata; Mammalia; Artiodactyla; Suidae
Description: lncRNA (ENSSSCG00025053462.1, ENSSSCG00035011494.1, ENSSSCG00055011684.1)
Source: RNAcentral
AUUCGCGAUUGGCUCGGGGAGAAGGUGGAUCGCGCUGCCGCGGCUGCAGCAUCUCCCUGGGAGCCGCACGGGGCGCAUCGUAUCCGGGAGCCGCGACCCUGCGCCCGCGGCCGCUGUCACCAGCCCGGCUGGAGGGGCUCCGCGAUCUCCCACGGAACGGCCAUGCCAAGAAACACCGCCACUGUUGCGACAACCAGGACGAAUCCACAAACACAGGGUUGCGUGAAAGAAGCCAGACACACCAUGAGGACUGAACGAUUCCGCUAAAGAAUAAAGACUCGCCAGGCUGGAGAACAGGAUGGCAGUGCCUCAAAAAGUCAGGCAUAGAUUUGCCAGCUGACCCAGCAGCUCCACUCCAGGGUAUUGACCCCAAAGAAUGAAAGCAGAGCCGUGACGAGACGUUGGCACAUGCAUGGUCGCAGCAGGGUUUCUCACGACGGCCAGAGGGCAGAAGCCACGCAGACGUCCAGGGAUGGGCGAAUGGACGAGCAGAACGUGAUCCAGAUCGUGGAAUAUUACUCAGCCUGGAAAAGGAAGGAGACUCUGACACAGGCCGCAGCCGGAUGAACCUGGAGGACACGAUGCUUGGUGAAAUCAGCCAGACGCAGAAGGACAAAUCCUGAGUGCGGGAACUGCGCUUAGAGGAGGCCUCAGAGGAGUCGGAUCCAAGGGCUGGGCGAGGGGUGCAGGGUUGGGGCAUAACAGGGAGAGCGUUCGCUUGUGAAAAUGGAAAUUUCCGGUGACGGUGAAGGUACUGAAUGCCACAGAACUGGCACGUAACGUGACUAACAGGACUCAAAUCUCAGGAAGACGCUGCGCUCAGAACAUGCUUCCCGCUUGCAAGUCGAAAAAUGCGAGUUCCGACCACGCUCACGCGCGACACUCAGCAAGCUGAAGACCUGGGCGUGCGAGCCAGAGGCCUGGAAUGAGAGACCUAAAAACUGCAGAGGACAAACCACGGAACCGUCCCCGCCGGGAAGGGCUCAGAGUCGGGCUGGAAAAGAGACCCGAUACGCCACGCUGCGGUUAUGCCCACAGGGUCCCCGAAGGAGGGGUUUGGGAGGCGGCCCCGCCACGGCCGGACGGCCUGGCUCCCCAACGGCCCCUGCCCUCACCCUCCAACAGAGCCCACCUGGACAGCCUUUCGGCCCCACACAAGCCUGGAGAGGUCCCCAAAGAGAGAGUUAUGGCUUGUCAAAAGUUUCCACUCUGCCUGCAGAUGGCAGGACCCCGCACACCCGCCCCGUGACCCCUUGUGACCUCCGCUUCCUGAGUCCAGGGACGGGCCCUGAGUAAUUCCGGGAUCUCUGAGCCCCAAGGAGUGGUCGUGAUUUAAGGGUGAUGAGGCCAUGGCCAGGAGCCGUUCGUGACCGGAGGGGCCCGUGCCCUGCCCGGAAAGGCCCCACGCCCCACGUGAGGUCCUUGUGGGGAGUCGCCCUUCACCCUGACUGGCCCUCCUGCCCCACCCCCCAGGGACCUGCCUCCCCAGGCUCGGGGCCAGGACUGUCCCACAGGCCCCCUGAGCUCUGCUGGGUCCAGCUGGGCAGCUCGCAGAAGAGGAAGCUUCUAGGCCCUGGCCGGCCAGCCUCCCGCAAGCCCAAGGCAGGAUUUCCUGCUCUGGGUGGAGAUCAGCCUCUCCCUGGACCCCAACCGGUGAGGUGAGCCCCCCUCUGCAAAGAGGGGUCACCGGGGUGUCCACUCCCCUCACGGUGCCAGAGACUGCAGCCCAGACUGGUGCCCUCGAGGCAGAGACCGCAGGCUUCACACGGCUGUGUGCCCGGCGCUGUGCCCAGCGCCACAGGUGCCUCGAGAAACACUCAGACACGCAGACACACACCCGCAGAGAUGCUCACAGCCGCCAGCCGCCCUCUCAAGUUGCCACUAGGUGGUGCAUGAAAACUUUUGCUUUUUCAACCUCUGUGCCUCUGGUCGAGCACAGUCCAACAAAAAUAUACUAGAGCCGUAAGUGUAAUUUUACAUGAAACGGAAAAUUAACUUAAUAUUGUCUUUUAUUUUAAUCCAACAUAGACAAAAAAAUCAUAAUUCAACCUAUAAUCAACACAAGGAUUUUUUUUUUUUUCUUUUUAGGGCCACACCCACGGCAUAUGGAGGUUCUCAGGCUAAGGGUCAAAUAGGAGCUGCAGCUGCCAGCCUCCACCACAGUCACAGCAACACCAGAUCCGAGCCGCAUCUGUGACCUACACCACACAGAGCUCACGGGAAAGCCGGAUCCUUAACCCACUGAGUGAGGCCAGGGAUCGAACCCGCAUCCCCAUGGAUACUAGUUGGGCUUGUUACCAUUGAGCCACCAUGGGAACUUCCAACAUAAAGACUUAUUAAUUCUGCUGAGUCUUUAAAAA